This 131-nucleotide ribosomal RNA is filed under the name Castor canadensis (American beaver). Lineage: Eukaryota; Metazoa; Chordata; Mammalia; Rodentia; Castoridae. The record is from RNAcentral.
AGUCUAUGCCAUACCACCCUGAAUGUGUCCAAUUUUGUCUGAUCCCAGAAACUAAGCAGGGCCAGGUCUGGUAAGUACUUGAAUGAUGUACAUUUUAAGUUAGUCUCUGAGUAAAAGAGGCACCUGAUCUC